Molecule: ribosomal RNA, 735 nt
Filed under: Lasiodiplodia theobromae
Lineage: Eukaryota; Fungi; Ascomycota; Dothideomycetes; Botryosphaeriales; Botryosphaeriaceae
Description: SSU rRNA
Rfam family: Eukaryotic small subunit ribosomal RNA
Source: RNAcentral
CUACUUGGAUAACCGUGGUAAUUCUAGAGCUAAUACAUGCUAAAAACCCCGACUUCGGAAGGGGUGUAUUUAUUAGAUAAAAAACCAAUGCCCUUCGGGGCUCCUUGGUGAAUCAUGAUAACUUAACGAAUCGCAUGGCCUUGCGCCGGCGAUGGUUCAUUCAAAUUUCUGCCCUAUCAACUUUCGAUUGUAGGAUAGUGGCCUACAAUGGUUUCAACGGGUAACGGGGAAUUAGGGUUCUAUUCCGGAGAGGGAGCCUGAGAAACGGCUACCACAUCCAAGGAAGGCAGCAGGCGCGCAAAUUACCCAAUCCCGAUACGGGGAGGUAGUGACAAUAAAUACUGAUACAGGGCUCUUUUGGGUCUUGUAAUUGGAAUGAGUACAAUUUAAAUACCUUAACGAGGAACAAUUGGAGGGCAAGUCUGGUGCCAGCAGCCGCGGUAAUUCCAGCUCCAAUAGCGUAUAUUAAAGUUGUUGCAGUUAAAAAGCUCGUAGUUGAACCUUGGGCCUGGCUGGCCGGUCUGCCUCACCGCAUGUACUGGUUCGGCCGGGUCUUUCCUCCUGGGGAUCCGCAUGCCCUUCACUGGGUGUGUUGGGGAACCAGGACUUUUACUUUGAAAAAAUUAGAGUGUUCAAAGCAGGCCUUUGCUCGAAUACAUUAGCAUGGAAUAAUAGAAUAGGACGUGCGGUCCUAUUUUGUUGGUUUCUAGGACCGCCGUAAUGAUUAAUAGGGAU